AUAACUUAUCAAACUAUUGGUCAUAACUUAUUUCUCGAUCACAAAUUAAAAAUUUUAUAUGUUACAGAUUAUUUUUCAAUCAUGAAUCAAAAAUUUUGUAGGUCGUAGAUUAUUCAUCGAUCACAUAAUCAAUAAUUUUAUUGGUCGCAACUCACAAAUUAGUAGAUUAAUUGGUCACUAUUAAUUUUUCAGUCACAACUUAAUCAAUUCUGAGUCAUAGACACAAUUUUUAGCUCAAAUAUUACAAAUUAACCAAUUAUUAGUCACAAUCAACUAAAUAAUUGGUCACAAGCAUCCAACCCCAUCUCAUCCCACCCACAACCAUCGCCACGACCACCACAACUACCAUAAUUAUCACCAUUAAAUGUACCCUUUUUUCCAAGUAGUUCUUGAACCGCUUUCAAAGUAAAAGGGCACAAAAAAUUAUCAAUUCCGAGAGCAAUAGUGUAAGGCUUUGCUGACAGUGGAAUUGCCUCAAAAACAACAUAUUAAGUCUGUUCAGAGAAUGAAUUGAUACUCUAAACAAAACAAGAUAUACAAAAACAUAGUGACUUACCUACAUGCUCAUUCGAUGUUUCUUCACUGACUGUAGAGUCAGAUCUAAAGAAGCAUUGCAUCUCACCCAACCACCCACUGCACAUAGCACCGCAUCCAAUCACCCGUUGCACACCCCCAUUGUAGAUUCACCACCGCACCCAAAAAUGGAGGAAAGGACCCCCGAUCUGCAGCACCCAUGGAGAAAUGCUGCCUGCACUGCUGUCAAACAUCACCGUUCAACGCUUCGUCGCAUUCACUGCAUCACCACACACAGCGAGCAACCGGAUCUACAACCAUCGCCACCAAUAAAACCAUAGCCAGACUGGAUCCAAACAUAACCUCUGCUACCACUGGAUCCAACAAGCCACCAAACACCACCACCAUAGCCCCGCCCAACAAACUAUGUCUUCAAAGCAGUUGCGGGGCCUUCACAGCGGUAGUGGUGGCGACGACUGUAUCUUCGUCGAACAAAAGUAAGGGGGAUAGAGAGAGAGAGAAACGAGACGAGAGAGGGAUAAAAAGAGAGGAAUGAAAUGAAAAAUUAAUUA
RNAcentral lists this long non-coding RNA (1085 nucleotides) under Olea europaea subsp. europaea. Lineage: Eukaryota; Viridiplantae; Streptophyta; Magnoliopsida; Lamiales; Oleaceae. The record is from RNAcentral.